ACCUUAGUAUCAACCUGAAGGAAUCCAUCUGGUAUGCAUUCUUCAUUCAGCUCCAAGCUGAGUUCCAGCUUCAUAUUCACCAUUUCUUUCAAGACAGAGGCAUUUCAUGUGUUCCCAUUUGGCCUCCCUGUGCAUUGCCAUGCAGUUUGUGCCAUAUGAUCGUUUGGAAUGAAUAUUAUAAAUUCGAUGAUAUAACCACUAGACUUAUUUUCCUCCUUUUCGUUCCCUCCGCAUGGUUUACAACAACAUCAUCAGUAGGAGGAUCCAUGAUUGAUGGUCCACUAUUGGUGAUCUGGUUGAGGAUGGGGCAACUCGGCUGGUUGCUGGAACGUCAUAGUACACUUUGAAAUUCAGUACAGAAGUAUAACUGGUCAGUAUCGAUAAUCAAUGGCGAAGCUAGAUUGUUCAACCCAAGACCAUUUUGUACUUAUAUAUGGCUUGAUCAUUCAUGAGUUAACUACAUCCUUCGAGCCAAGGACAUUUUUUUAAUUUUCUAAGCUUAGCAGUAAACUCAAUCCUGAAAAUGAUAUCGCAUGUGGGGGAAAAUAUAGUAUUUUGAAUGUGAAUGAUGUGGAAACUCUAACUGAUGCCAGUCUACAAGGUAUAUACAAG
Non-coding RNA from Paramuricea clavata, 612 nucleotides. The record is from the annotation of a GenBank genome assembly. NCBI's taxonomy places the organism in Eukaryota, Metazoa, Cnidaria, Anthozoa, Malacalcyonacea, Plexauridae.